Molecule: small nucleolar RNA, 134 nt
Organism: Cercocebus atys (sooty mangabey)
Lineage: Eukaryota; Metazoa; Chordata; Mammalia; Primates; Cercopithecidae
Source: Ensembl
UUCCAAAGUAUUGAGUUCAGUUCAAGGCAGCUUCCCUAUUCUGUUAACUAAACUUUGGGACACUGAAAUGGGCUACAGGAGAUGAUUGGUUAGAAACCAUUAUUCUGGGUGGUGGGCGCCUGUAGUCCCAGCUA